UAGGGUUAAAUUAGUACAUCCAGCUGACCCCAGAUGACAUAACCACUCCCCAGACAGCAGAAUUUCCACCACAAUUGGCGUCACGAACAGGAUCCGUGUGAAUCCGCCAGGACCUGAUCGGAGGGGCUGAUCACCCUGGGUCACCAAGAUCCAUCUCCAAAACCUCGUCUUAGAGUUUCAGAGUGACUGGGACUGCGGUCAGUGUCCUUGGCCGAUUCCGCCGGGAUUUUUCUCUUUUCUGUCGUCUGGGGACACGAACAGGGGCGCGCGGGUCGACCUGAGUUUGGACUCCACCCCUCCGCUUUACCCCCAACAGCAACUCCU
This is a long non-coding RNA of Denticeps clupeoides (denticle herring), 324 nucleotides long. NCBI's taxonomy places the organism in Eukaryota, Metazoa, Chordata, Actinopteri, Clupeiformes, Denticipitidae. The record is from Ensembl.